RNAcentral lists this long non-coding RNA (1405 nucleotides) under Homo sapiens (human). RNAcentral's name for it is "PCBP1 antisense RNA 1". Lineage: Eukaryota; Metazoa; Chordata; Mammalia; Primates; Hominidae. The record is from RNAcentral.
GAACACAAAAUGGCGACACGUGGUUAGCAUUCGUCGCCAACGAGAAAUUGGGGUCGGCCCGAAAGCUCUAGAAUGCACCCCUCUUCCUCCCCGGGGCCUUCCACCUCCGCGAGUUUUAUGACUUAAAAAAGCCCACAGGCUGGUCUGAAGAGGAAGACAAACAUAAAGAUGAAGUGCUUAAUUCAAGGUCACACAAUGUCGGGGAUGGACCUCCAGAUUUCCUUACUGGUGAGACGUGGUCUUGUAACACAGUGGUUAAGAAUGUGACUUUGGAGCCAGCCUGCUAGGGGCUGAAUUCUGACUCAGCCAUUUACUAACUGUGUGACCUUAGGUCACAGAAUUUUCCACACUCCUUGACAGAGGUGCUUAACCCUUAUCCAUCAGCAUUCUCAGACAGCACCUCCGGUUAGGGACAGUAUCUGACCGUCCGACAUCCCUGCAGCCCCCAUGUGUCACACAGACUCAGCCUCAGGUAGAUGGUUUCCGUAGAUGGUGGCUUUCUUUGGACCCUUGACAUCAACCAGUUACUAUUUGGUCUAGGGGUCUCACCAACGCUGCUCAUCUAGCAGGGCCACACAUAACAAAUAGAAGCAGAGCAAGCCCUGGAACUCCUGCCUGACAGUGACACGACGACAGAAACAUCUUACCAGUCAGAGGACCAUGAGAAAUAGAUUCAAGGAGCAUUCCACGUGCAAGUGAGUCUUGGCCCCAUCUGCCUUUGGAUUUUAGCCGUGAACUGGAAGGUAUUGGAAAGAAGACCCUCAGAAAUAGCUUAAUCAAAAUCCCUGCGUCUGAACCAAGUGCCUUAUUUCUCUGUGGGCCUCAAGCUUCGCUGACAUCUGUGGAGCACACUGUCCUAACAGGAGUGCUGUCUGAUUUCCCAACGCUCUGCAAAACAAACAGCCUGGAAGGGUGGCUGGUGGAAGGUGGUUUUUAGAGAGAGACUUGUAGAUAACAGGAAAGUGAAGGCUGUAAGGAAGGUUGUAAUUAAACAGCACAUGGAAACACAAUCACAUUAUUGUCCCAUUCCAUAGGGAUAAUGAUGACCACUUCAGUGGGAAAAGGAGAGGUUUUAAGUCAUUAGGGACUAUGGGCCACCUUUUAGGAAGAUUUAUUUUCAAAGGUUAAAAUAGUGUUUUGGCAAUUCAAGUUUCAUUUUCAGAAAAUGUAAUUGAUGGGAACCUCAGUGACUCUGGAUGAAUAAGAUGCUGUUGAGUGGCUCUGACUUGGGCCAGCCGUGCUUCUCACAGGACCUUGGAGACCAAGGUCACUGUGAUCUCAGGUUCAGGGGGCAAGUCCUCUCCACACAGCCCUAGUUGGCCUCACAGCUGAAAAUGUCUCCCUUACUGUUGGACUCCUUUGUUCACCCACAUGAGUUUGUGAAUAAAUCCUUUCCAGUCUGAAA